GCAGUCGUGGCCGAGUGGUUAAGGCGAUGGUCUUGAAAACCAUUGGUUUCUUCCCGCGCAGGUUCGAGUCCUGCCGACUGCG
Molecule: transfer RNA, 82 nt
Filed under: Rhipicephalus sanguineus (brown dog tick)
Lineage: Eukaryota; Metazoa; Arthropoda; Arachnida; Ixodida; Ixodidae
Description: transfer RNA serine (anticodon UGA)
Rfam family: tRNA
About the family: Transfer RNA (tRNA) molecules are approximately 80 nucleotides in length. Their secondary structure includes four short double-helical elements and three loops (D, anti-codon, and T loops). Further hydrogen bonds mediate the characteristic L-shaped molecular structure. tRNAs have two regions of fundamental functional importance: the anti-codon, which is responsible for specific mRNA codon recognition, and the 3' end, to which the tRNAs corresponding amino acid is attached (by aminoacyl-tRNA synthetases). tRNAs cope with the degeneracy of the genetic code in two manners: having more than one tRNA (with a specific anti-codon) for a particular amino acid; and 'wobble' base-pairing, i.e. permitting non-standard base-pairing at the 3rd anti-codon position.
Source: Rfam by way of RNAcentral